UAUCUCUCUAUCUCUCUCUCUCUGUGUGAAGAUAUGAUCAUGAAUGAAUAUGUAUAUGAUUAGUUUAACUGUAAAUGCUGAUGAAAAGAUGAAGUUUUGAACUUGAGGUGGUUGAUUAAAAAUCAAGAGUCUGUUGCACAUGGAUCACCCCUUUUCGGCUUCUUUUUUUCUCCCUAUCGGAUCUUUGAUCAGAACUCAGCUGCCUAGUUACAAGUCACUGGUAUCUCUCAUCUGGAUCAUGCUUGUUUCUGGGUUCUUCUAAAGGUUUUUGAUCCAACUUGUCAUCAGCCUACACCACAACAGCAAGCGAGCUAGUUUUAAAGGGCCAGCCAGUUGAGCUGCUGCACGAAAGGAAAGGAAAAGAGAAAGAAAUGCCUCUGUAUGAUUGUAUGCUGCUGAUGAAACCCCAUGUAAGGAAGGAGGCUCUGAUGGACUUGAUUGCUAGAGUAAGCAAACAUGUUUACAGAAGAAAUGGAGUUCUUACUGACAUGAAGUCAUUUGGCACAGUUCAGUUGGGCUAUGGUAUUAAGAAGCUUGAUGGCAGAUAUUAUCAGAUCUUUGAGGAGAAGAAGCAGUAGCAGUUCACCUCCUCAUAAGCCAUAGAUCGUACAAUUUUACCGACACCAACCAACUCAAGUCCUUCGUUCCAGUGAUAAUUUAAUAUGUGAACGAAGCCUUCGUUGGUGUUAUAUGUUAAUUUUUGGCUUAUGUUUCAAAUUUCAAAUUUGGUUUGUAAUUUAAUUAUUAAUUUUUACAUUGAGAUAUAAUUCUUAAGAUUGUAUGUUUGGUUUGGAUGACCAUGUUUUGUAUUUGGAAGUUAAGAUGGCAUGUAGAAAUUAUUUUAGGCCAAAUUUUUAUAGGAAUGUGAAU
This is a long non-coding RNA of Prunus avium (sweet cherry), 870 nucleotides long. RefSeq lists it as uncharacterized. The record is from RefSeq and is a predicted model, not a curated record. NCBI's taxonomy places the organism in Eukaryota, Viridiplantae, Streptophyta, Magnoliopsida, Rosales, Rosaceae.